Molecule: ribosomal RNA, 443 nt
Filed under: Pica pica (Eurasian magpie)
Lineage: Eukaryota; Metazoa; Chordata; Aves; Passeriformes; Corvidae
Description: partial 12S ribosomal RNA
Rfam family: Bacterial small subunit ribosomal RNA
Source: RNAcentral
AAACUGGGAUUAGAUACCCCACUAUGCCUGGCCCUAAAUCUUGAUGCUCUAUGCUACCUGAGCAUCCGCCCGAGAACUACGAGCACAAACGCUUAAAACUCUAAGGACUUGGCGGUGUCCCAAACCCACCUAGAGGAGCCUGUUCUGUAAUCGAUGAUCCACGAUAUUACCUGACCAUUCCUUGCUAAGUACAGCCUACAUACCGCCGUCGCCAGCCCACCCCCCCUGAUGGUUCAACAGUGAGCGCAAUAGUCCCUACCCACUAGUAAGACAGGUCAAGGUAUAGCCUAUGGAAUGGAAGCAAUGGGCUACAUUUUCUAGUUUAGAACAUUACGGCAAGAAGGCCUGAAAUGGCCUUCAGAAGGCGGAUUUAGCAGUAAAGUGGGACUAUCGAGCCCUCUUUAAGCCGGCUCUGGGACACGUACAUACCGCCCGUCACCCUC